Molecule: ribosomal RNA, 99 nt
Filed under: uncultured bacterium
Lineage: Bacteria
Description: partial 16S ribosomal RNA
Rfam family: Bacterial small subunit ribosomal RNA
Source: RNAcentral
CACACCGCCCGUCACACCAUGGGAGUUGGAUCCACUCGAAGGCGUUGAGCUAACCCGCAAGGGAGGCAGGCGACCACAGUGGGUUUAGCGACUGGGGUG